GCUGAAAGAAAGCAUCGAGCUCUUAGUAUCUCCUAUUUGCUGGGAGAUAGUAUGAAGGACCUGAUUAGUAUAGUUGUUUUGUUCAACUAUCCUAUCUAGGUCUCUGUUGAUGGGGGCUGAUAGGGGUCUAUCAUGCUUCUUCUUAAAGGGUGAAGCAUUGAGGAUCUCAUUAGAAUGAGGAAUUUUUAUCCCUUCAAGGGGAGGAGUAA
RNAcentral lists this long non-coding RNA (209 nucleotides) under Capsicum annuum. RNAcentral's name for it is "long non-coding RNA (CANN_LNC004601)". The record is from RNAcentral. Lineage: Eukaryota; Viridiplantae; Streptophyta; Magnoliopsida; Solanales; Solanaceae.